RNAcentral lists this ribosomal RNA (250 nucleotides) under Anaplasma phagocytophilum. RNAcentral's name for it is "partial 16S ribosomal RNA". It matches the Rfam family "Bacterial small subunit ribosomal RNA", at positions 211 to 460 of the family's 1533-position model. The record is from RNAcentral. Lineage: Bacteria; Pseudomonadati; Pseudomonadota; Alphaproteobacteria; Rickettsiales; Anaplasmataceae.
CCGAUCGCUAUUAGAUGAGCCUAUGUUAGAUUAGCUAGUUGGUAGGGUAAAGGCCUACCAAGGCAAUGAUCUAUAGCUGGUCUGAGAGGAUGAUCAGCCACACUGGAACUGAGAUACGGUCCAGACUCCUACGGGAGGCAGCAGUGGGGAAUAUUGGACAAUGGGCGCAAGCCUGAUCCAGCUAUGCCGCGUGAGUGAGGAAGGCCUUAGGGUUGUAAAACUCUUUCAGUAGGGAAGAUAUGACGGUACA